Molecule: ribosomal RNA, 735 nt
Filed under: Triticum aestivum (bread wheat)
Lineage: Eukaryota; Viridiplantae; Streptophyta; Magnoliopsida; Poales; Poaceae
Description: partial small subunit ribosomal RNA
Source: RNAcentral
AUGACCGUCCAGAUAGCCACCACCACCGGCCAGGAACGGGAAACGGCGCGCGCGCGGCGCACGGGUACAGCCAGGAUGGUGCGGCCCUGCCCGUCGUUCUCCACGCUCCCUGACGACCUCCUCGUCAUCGUCUACCGGUUGCUGACCGAGUCAGCGAGCAGCCGUGUGCGCUUCGCCGCCGUCUGCAGGUCAUGGCGCGCCGCCGUCGCCAUGGAGCCGCGGGUGCCCGCUCUGCCGUGGCUGCUGCUCUCGCCACGCGGCGCCCGCGACAGGACAUGGCGUGCGCUCUGCCCCGCGGAUGGCGCCACGAUCAGCCUCCAGCCCCGGCGCCGGGCCGUCGGGAGGGGCCUCAUCGGCGGUUACGGUGGAGGCUGGGUGGUCCUCUCCCAACCGCUGCUCAGGAUAGUCAACUUCUUCACCGGAGCGGAGGUGCCGCUCUCCGAGAAACAGAGGAGGAUGGCCUGCCCGCACGCCAACCUUGGGCCUGGUGAUGUUGUACCCGUCGUCUCGAAAAUCGUACUCUCCCAGCCGCCCAACUCGGACGGUUGCAUCAUUGCCGCAUUGACCGAGAACUGCGGAAUCAUGCUCUCUAGAGUUGGUUGUCCAGGUGAAGGGUGGACGAUACAUGGAUGUCAUGGGAAAGAUGUCAUGGGUUCAGAUUCACGGACAUUGCCUUUUACAACGGUCACCUCUACGGUGUUGCACGUGAUUGUAAUAAACUCCUCAAGUGCGUGA